This 252-nucleotide ribosomal RNA is filed under the name uncultured bacterium. RNAcentral describes it as "partial 16S ribosomal RNA". It matches the Rfam family "Bacterial small subunit ribosomal RNA", at positions 524 to 776 of the family's 1533-position model. The record is from RNAcentral.
UACGAAGGGUGCAAGCGUUACUCGGAAUUACUGGGCGUAAAGCGUGCGUAGGUGGUUUGUUAAGUCUGUUGUGAGAGCCCCGGGCUCAACCUGGGAAUGGCAAUGGAUACUGGCAAGCUAGAGUGCGGUAGAGGGUAGUGGAAUUCCCGGUGUAGCGGUGAAAUGCGCAGAUAUCAGGAGGAACACCGGUGGCGAAGGCGCUCCCUGGACAAUAGCUGACACUCAGGCACGAAAGCGUGGGGAGCAAAAGGG